RNAcentral lists this ribosomal RNA (1394 nucleotides) under metagenome. RNAcentral describes it as "bacterial SSU rRNA". It matches the Rfam family "Bacterial small subunit ribosomal RNA". The record is from RNAcentral.
GACGGGUGAGUAAUAUAUCGGAACGUGCCCAGUAAUGGGGGAUAGCCCGGCGAAAGCCGGAUUAAUACCGCAUACGACCUACGGGUGAAAGCGGGGGAUCGCAAGACCUCGCGUUAUUGGAGCGGCCGAUAUCAGAUUAGCUUGUUGGUGGGGUAAAAGCCCACCAAGGCAACGAUCUGUAGCUGGUCUGAGAGGACGACCAGCCACACUGGGACUGAGACACGGCCCAGACUCCUACGGGAGGCAGCAGUGGGGAAUUUUGGACAAUGGGCGCAAGCCUGAUCCAGCCAUGCCGCGUGUGGGAAGAAGGCCUUCGGGUUGUAAACCACUUUUGUCAGGGAAGAAACGGUCCGAUCAAAUAAAUUGGACUAAUGACGGUACCUGAAGAAUAAGCACCGGCUAACUACGUGCCAGCAGCCGCGGUAAUACGUAGGGUGCAAGCGUUAAUCGGAAAUACUGGGCGUAAAGCGUGCGCAGGCGGCUUUGCAAGACAGAUGUGAAAUCCCCGGGCUCAACCUGGGAACUGCAUUUGUGACUGCAUGGCUAGAGUACGGUAGAGGGGGAUGGAAUUCCGCGUGUAGCAGUGAAAUGCGUAGAUAUGCGGAGGAACACCGAUGGCGAAGGCAAUCCCCUGGACCUGUACUGACGCUCAUGCACGAAAGCGUGGGGAGCAAACAGGAUUAGAUACCCUGGUAGUCCACGCCCUAAACGAUGUCAACUGGUUGUUGGACGGCUUGCUGUUCAGUAACGAAGCUAACGCGUGAAGUUGACCGCCUGGGGAGUACGGCCGCAAGGUUGGAACUCAAAGGAAUUGACGGGGACCCGCACAAGCGGUGGAUGAUGUGGUUUAAUUCGAUGCAACGCGAAAAACCUUACCUACCCUUGACAUGUCUAGAAGUUUCCAGAGAUGGAUUCGUGCUCGAAAGAGAACUAGAACACAGGUGCUGCAUGGCCGUCGUCAGCUCGUGUCGUGAGAUGUUGGGUUAAGUCCCGCAACGAGCGCAACCCUUAUCAUUAGUUGCUACGCAAGGGCACUCUAAUGAGACUGCCGGUGACAAACCGGAGGAAGGUGGGGAUGACGUCAGGUCAUCAUGGCCCUUAUGGGUAGGGCUACACACGUCAUACAAUGGCCGGUACAGAGGGCUGCCAACCCGCGAGGGGGAGCUAAUCUCAGAAAACCGGUCGUAGUCCGGAUCGCAGUCUGCAACUCGACUGCGUGAAGUCGGAAUCGCUAGUAAUCGCGGAUCAGCUUGCCGCGGUGAAUACGUUCCCGGGUCUUGUACACACCGCCCGUCACACCGUGGGAGCGGGUUCUGCCAGAAGUAGUUAGCCUAACCGCAAGGGGGGCGAUUACCACGGCAGGGUUCGUGACUGGGGUGAAGUCGAACAAGGUA